UCCGAGGUGAACCUGCGGAAGGAUCAUUAAU
This 31-nucleotide ribosomal RNA is filed under the name Pneumocystis sp. ZL2005b. RNAcentral describes it as "partial 16S ribosomal RNA". The record is from RNAcentral. Lineage: Eukaryota; Fungi; Ascomycota; Pneumocystomycetes; Pneumocystales; Pneumocystaceae.